RNAcentral lists this ribosomal RNA (422 nucleotides) under uncultured bacterium. Its description in RNAcentral is "partial 16S ribosomal RNA". It matches the Rfam family "Bacterial small subunit ribosomal RNA", at positions 360 to 774 of the family's 1533-position model. The record is from RNAcentral.
AAUCUUCCACAAUGGACGAAAGUCUGAUGGAGCAACGCCGCGUGAGCGAAGAAGGUUUUCGGAUCGUAAAGCUCUGUUGUGAGGGAAGAACAAGUACAGGAGUAACUGUCUGUACCUUGACGGUACCUCAUUAGAAAGCCACGGCUAACUACGUCCCAGCAGCCGCGGUAAUACGUAGGUGGCAAGCGUUGUCCGGAAUUAUUGGGCGUAAAGCGCGCGCAGGCGGCCUUUUAAGUCUGAUGUGAAAGCCCACGGCUUAACCGUGGAAGGUCAUUGGAAACUGAGGGACUUGAGUGCAGAAGAGGAAAGUGGAAUUCCAAGUGUAGCGGUGAAAUGCGUAGAGAUUUGGAGGAACACCAGUGGCGAAGGCGACUUUCUGGUCUGUAACUGACGCUGAGGCGCGAAAGCGUGGGGAGCAAACA